GCCUGGGUGGCUCAGUUGGUUAAGCGUCCGACUUUGGCUCGGGUCAUGAUCUUGCGGUCCGUGGGUUCGAGCCCCGUGUCGGGCU
RNAcentral lists this transfer RNA (85 nucleotides) under Felis catus (domestic cat). It matches the Rfam family "tRNA". From Rfam's summary of the family: Transfer RNA (tRNA) molecules are approximately 80 nucleotides in length. Their secondary structure includes four short double-helical elements and three loops (D, anti-codon, and T loops). The record is from Rfam by way of RNAcentral. Lineage: Eukaryota; Metazoa; Chordata; Mammalia; Carnivora; Felidae.